This 377-nucleotide transfer-messenger RNA is filed under the name Spirochaetales bacterium. It matches the Rfam family "transfer-messenger RNA". Rfam says of the family: Bacterial tmRNA, also known as 10Sa RNA or SsrA, is named for its dual tRNA and mRNA-like properties. Its role is to liberate the mRNA from a stalled ribosome. To accomplish this part of the tmRNA is used as a reading frame that ends in a translation stop signal. The record is from RNAcentral. RNAcentral also lists the same sequence under 1 other name. Lineage: Bacteria; Pseudomonadati; Spirochaetota; Spirochaetia; Spirochaetales.
GGGGGUGUAUUGGUUUCGACUGGCGGAUUUCAUGCCACCAGCUGCAGGUCAAGCGCCAACUUGUCAAACUAGCAAACCAAAUUAACUGCAAAGAAAGAAGACGAGUUCGUCCUCGACGAAGCAGAAUUCGCUCUCGCUGCUUAAUCCCAGCCAGAACGGACAAGGAGCCGGAAACCCCGCCCCGGGCCCUGCUCCCUGUAAACCCAUGGGGCUUGUCUACUGCUGACGGAUGUAGGCUGUAGAGACACUUUCACCCUGGGUUCCCCUAGGACCGACCGACUGCCGCAGGGAACCGAGAACCAUCAGCCGGAUCUAAGCCUGUAGACGUUGAUGGAUGGACUGUUAGGACGGGGGUUCGACUCCCCCCACCUCCAAAA